UGGGGAAUCAUGGUCAACGGGCGAAAGCCUGAACCUGCGACGCCGCGUGAGUGAUGAAGGUCGUAAGAUCGUAAAACUCUUUUCAGGGAUCUUAAAGCCUGUCUGUCAACAACAGGCAGGUCUGACUCUCCCUGGAAGAAGCCCCAGCCAACUACGUGCCAGCAGCUGCGGUAAUACGUAGGGGGCGAGCGUUAUUCGGAAUUACUGGGUGUAAAGGGUAUGUAGGCGGCCCUUCAAGUCGCGUGUCAAAGUCCAGUGCUCAACGCUGGGUGUGCACGCGAUACUGACAGGCUUGAGGGCUGGAGAGGGGAGCGGAAUUCCCGGUGUAGUGGUAAAAUACGUAGAGAUCGGGAGGAACACCAGCGGCGCAGGCGGCUCACUAGACAGUUUCUGACGCUAAGGUACGAAAGCGUGGGGAGCAAACA
RNAcentral lists this ribosomal RNA (425 nucleotides) under uncultured prokaryote. RNAcentral's name for it is "bacterial SSU rRNA". It matches the Rfam family "Bacterial small subunit ribosomal RNA", at positions 355 to 774 of the family's 1533-position model. The record is from RNAcentral.